RNAcentral lists this ribosomal RNA (253 nucleotides) under uncultured bacterium. Its description in RNAcentral is "partial 16S ribosomal RNA". It matches the Rfam family "Bacterial small subunit ribosomal RNA", at positions 524 to 776 of the family's 1533-position model. The record is from RNAcentral.
UACGAAGGGUGCGAGCGUUACUCGGAAUUACUGGGCGUAAAGCGUGCGCAGGCGGUUCGUUGUGUCGGCGGUGAAAUCCCCGGGCUCAACCUGGGAAUGGCCGUUGAAACUGGCGAACUGGAGUGUGGCAGAGGGGGGUGGAAUUCCGCGUGUAGCAGUGAAAUGCGUAGAGAUGCGGAGGAACACCGAUGGCGAAGGCAGCCCCCUGGGCUGACACUGACGCUCAGGCACGAAAGCGUGGGGAGCAAACAGG